Molecule: long non-coding RNA, 1319 nt
Filed under: Chinchilla lanigera (long-tailed chinchilla)
Lineage: Eukaryota; Metazoa; Chordata; Mammalia; Rodentia; Chinchillidae
Description: lncRNA (ENSCLAG00000026229.1)
Source: RNAcentral
AAUAAAGUCAUCUAAUCCACAGCAGGAAGUAUUUCAGUUAUAAAUUUAUUACAUCGCUCUCUGGCACUAAUACUCCUAAUUAUGGGAUUAUCGGCCCUUUUAUAUUUAGAGAUGAAUUUCAAGAAAAGUGAGAGACUAAAGGGAUUUCUACAAAAAGUGAGCUUCCUGUCCUUAGUCACAUUCAAGUACAUGAUGGCUUUCUACCUGGACAGAUUAUAGUACAUGAGAGGUAAAAGUCAAUUUGUGGAAAAAACCAAACAACGUUUCUAUAAUUAUAAGGGGCAAGGGGUGACUCUGACUUUGUUCUAUAAAGGUUAAAUGUAACCUUCUUUGUUCAACCGUUGGUACAGUCCAAUGAUGGGAAAUAAUGGGAAGAACUUAGAGCGUUAACAUGGUGUUACGGGCCUGAGAGUGUUCCGAUCCACGGGAACACCCUAGUCACUCACCACACUGUUUCUGAAGGCGAUAUCUCACCACUCGGAGCAAAGAGGGACACACAGUGACUACUGUUAGCUAGGCUCCGGCCCUCUCCAGCAAUUCAGAGCUCUGACUUUUGGAAGUGAUCACAAGGACCCAAGACAGGAUGAGAGCUGCCAUGGACACAAAUAUCCUUAAUUAAGUUCCUCAUCCAGGCUGCCUGGAUAGCAAUGCAAACAUGGGAUUUGCCUGAAAAGUAGAAAGAUCUAAUGGAAGUGCCAUGUAGCUUUAGUGGAGAUGAAGGACUGGGAAGACCCUCUAAAUUUAAAGUACACUGAUGCUAUUCUGGAAACUGCACACUCAUUAGGGAUAGACAAAUAUCUAUGGACGUUACAACCUCAUAGAGGAAACAUCUUAACCAGGAAGAUGUCAAGACACCCAAGGGAGCGCAACAGCUGGGAAGUUGAAAACCCUGAGCAAGAAUCUCUGCUGUGAGGGGCUGGGGAUUUAGCUCAGUGGCAAAAGCGCCUGCCUGGCAAGUGCAAGGAUCUUCCAUGAAUCUCAGAUUUUUGUGAAAUGGAUGGACAGCACUGCUCUCUACAAAGGUGUAUUGUUAUAGAAACAGAGAACAAAUAUAACGUCAAUCGAUUCAUAAAUGGAUAUCACUGAAGAUGUGAUAUAUUGCUCACUAUUCAUUCUGUACUUGCUGUAAGAAACUGUCUUGGGGACCAGGAAUAUCGUUCGGUGGCACAGUGCCUGCCUGGCAAGUGUGAAGUCGAGAGUUUGAUUCCUGGUACCACCAAAAGCAAAAAGGAAAAAAGAAACUGUAUUGGAAGAGUAAGCAAAAUCAAAAUGGUGACAUUUGUUUACUUGUAUAACACAGUGAAUUCUCAUUAAAUGUC